This 434-nucleotide ribosomal RNA is filed under the name uncultured Lachnospiraceae bacterium. Its description in RNAcentral is "partial 16S ribosomal RNA". It matches the Rfam family "Bacterial small subunit ribosomal RNA", at positions 341 to 792 of the family's 1533-position model. The record is from RNAcentral. Lineage: Bacteria; Bacillati; Bacillota; Clostridia; Lachnospirales; Lachnospiraceae.
ACGGAAGGCAGCAGUGGGGAAUAUUGCACAAUGGGGGAAACCCUGAUGCAGCGACGCCGCGUGAGUGAAGAAGUUAUUCGUAAUGUAAAGCUCUAUCAGCAGGGAAGAAAAUGACGGUACCUGACUAAGAAGCCCCGGCUAACUACGUGCCAGCAGCCGCGGUAAUACGUAGGGGGCGAGCGUUAUCCGGAUUUACUGGGUGUAAAGGGAGCGUAGACGGUCUAGCAAGUCUGAUGUGAAAGGCAGGGGCUCAACUCCUGGACUGCAUUGGAAACUGUUAGUCUUGAGUGUCGGAGAGGUAAGCGGAAUUCCUAGUGUAGCGGUGAAAUGCGUAGAUAUUAGGAGGAACACCAGUGGCGAAGGCGGCUUACUGGACGAUAACUGACGUUGAGGCUCGAAAGCGUGGGGAGCAAACAGGAUUAGAUACCCUGGUA